GUUUUUAUGGUGUAACCUAAACACAUAACUUUUUCAAAGUUAAACUAAUUAAUCUUUAAAAACA
Molecule: transfer RNA, 64 nt
Filed under: Pseudoniphargus elongatus
Lineage: Eukaryota; Metazoa; Arthropoda; Malacostraca; Amphipoda; Allocrangonyctidae
Description: tRNA-Glu
Source: RNAcentral